AACGCACCUUGCGCUCCUUGGUAUUCCUUGGAGCAUGCCUGUUUGAGUAUCAUGAGCAAAUCUCAAAGUCGAACCUUUUGUUAAUUCAAUUGGUUUUCGCUUUGGACUUGGAGGUCUUGCAGAUUUCACCGUCUGCUCCUCUUAAAUGCAGUAGCUGGAUCUCAGUAUUAUGCUUGGUUCCACUCGGCGUGAUAAGUAUCACUCGCUGAGGACACUGGUAAAAAGGUGGCCAGGAAAAUACCGAUUGAACCGCUUCUAACGGUCUAUUAACUUAGACAAUUACCCCCCCUUAAGUUUGAUCUCAAAUCAGGUAGGACUACCCGCUGAACUUAA
Molecule: unclassified non-coding RNA, 333 nt
Filed under: uncultured Ceratobasidiaceae
Lineage: Eukaryota; Fungi; Basidiomycota; Agaricomycetes; Cantharellales; Ceratobasidiaceae
Description: sequence contains ITS2
Source: RNAcentral